AUAGAAUCUUUUAACUUUGUAAUGACUGAAAGCUUCUGUCUGAAGACCUUGACUAGAUUUGAGAUAGAACUUCCCAAAUGAUUUAUUUAGCAAUAAUCAACACAACAUUGUGAUACCGUUUGCAUCGUUUAUCCUGUCCAUAAUUCUUCUGAACAGUGAAGCUUUCUUUUGUUCCUUGCUUGGAUCGUGUUCUUCUGCACAUUUGAAGUAGAGGUAAAAAUGUGGUGGAAAGAGUAAGUAUUGCCAUACAUGUACUUUUAUGAGCAUUGCUUCCUAUUCUACAGAGCUUCUCUCAUGUUUACAGGUAUUCUCGUUGUUUAGAUCUAUGAGAUCAAUAACUUUUAUUUGUAU
Molecule: unclassified non-coding RNA, 351 nt
Filed under: Hevea brasiliensis (rubber tree)
Lineage: Eukaryota; Viridiplantae; Streptophyta; Magnoliopsida; Malpighiales; Euphorbiaceae
Source: RNAcentral